Molecule: long non-coding RNA, 753 nt
Filed under: Cricetulus griseus (Chinese hamster)
Lineage: Eukaryota; Metazoa; Chordata; Mammalia; Rodentia; Cricetidae
Description: lncRNA (ENSCGRG00015035796.1)
Source: RNAcentral
CUUCCUCCAGCAGAGCAAUGUGAUCCACCGGCAAGGAGGGACGCCAAUAAGGCAUCCAAAAAGAUAAGUCUUAUAAAAUAUAUAGAUUUAUGGUAAUUAAGACUGAGCUAACAGAUGAGAAUCCUAGUCAUUGGCCAAGCAGCAUUGUACCUACUACAAGUCUCUCUGUGCAUUAUUUGGGGCCCUAACUCAGGCGGGAGGCUGGCGUAGAGCGCACACUGGGUGCUGGGCUUGGCGGCUUUUGGCAGAAAGAUUUAUUGUAACAGAUAUUGUAAGAAAGAAUGAAAGAGAGAAAGAAAUCCUUAUUAAAACUAGACUAUUUUAUAACCCAGAUGCCCCUCAACUGAAGAAUGCAUGGAGAAAAUGUGGUACAUUUACACAAUGGAGUACUACUCAGCAGAAAAAAAAACAACGGAAUCUUGAAAUUCACAGGCAAAUGGAUGGAACUAGAAGAAACCAUCCCAAGUGAGCCUUCAUCCAAUACUGAUGGAAGCAGAGGCAGACACCCACAGCUAAACACUGAGCUGAACUCUGGAGUCCAGUUGAAGAGAGGGAGGAGUGAUGAAAAAAGGGGUCCAGACCAAGCUGGAGAAACCCACAGAAACAGCUGACCUGAACAAGAGGGAGCUCACGGACCCCAGACUGAUAUCUGGGAAACCAGCAUAGGACUGUUCCAGACUCCUUGAACAUGGAUGUCAGUUUGGAGUCUGGGCUUCUGGUAGUGGAUUGUAGUGGAUCAGUAUUUGUCCCUAG